This 437-nucleotide ribosomal RNA is filed under the name uncultured bacterium. Its description in RNAcentral is "partial 16S ribosomal RNA". It matches the Rfam family "Bacterial small subunit ribosomal RNA", at positions 28 to 507 of the family's 1533-position model. The record is from RNAcentral.
GAUGAACGCUGGCGGCAUGCUUAAUACAUGCAAGUCGGACGGGAAGACGUGUUUCUUGUGGCGGUCGGGUUAGUAACGCGCAAGAACCUGCCAUGGGGAGGGCAACAAUAGAUGGCAGCGGCUGCUAAUACACCGUAGGGUUAGGAGCAAAAGGAGUAAUCCGCCCGAGGAGGGGCUCGCGUCUGAUUAGCUAGUUGGAGAGGCAAUAGCGUACCAAGGCGAUUAUCAGAAGCUGGUCCGAGAGGAUGAUCAGCCACACUGGGACUGAGACACGGACCAGACUCCUUCGGGAGGCAGCAGUGAGGAAGUUUCCGCAAUGGGCGAAAGCUGGACGGAGCAAUGCCGCGUGGAGGUAGAAGGCCUACGGGUCGUGAACUUCUUUUCCCGGAGAAGAAGCAAUGACGGUAUCUGGGGAAUAAGCAUCGGCUAACUCUGUG